UCUGGCUGCUGUGGCUUUAUUUUCACCUGAAGGCUUCUAGUUUGAAAAAAGGAAAGAAAAGAAAAGAAAAGUCUUUACUAAGGAAAAAGAAAAAUUUCAAGAAAAGUCUUAAGCCAGAAAAAUAGACCGUGAAACUCCCUGUUUUUAUAGAUGAUGGGAUUCUGCUCUGGCCUUUCUCCCUUCCCACUCACAGGCAAGAUUCCUCUAGGAUGAGCAGUAGAGGUGAGCUAUUCAUGAGGAAUGGAGUACCUACUCAGGGAUCGAGUCCUCCAGUGUUGUCCCAUGGGACCAGCCUCUGGCUCCUGAUCCUGUCCCAGUGCAAGCUCAACCUUCAGUGGGGUGUUUCAGAGGUUCCCUUUGCUUAGAACCUUGGUUGCUUUUGAGUUGGUGUGAGGAGAGGAAAGUGCUUGCUACUCCCUAGGAUGAGUCUCAACUGGCAGGAGGGCAGAACCUCACUGUCCCAGGGUGGGAAGGGGUUGACUAAAGCUCUCACACCUGCCCUCUCUGGAGUUCUCUAUCCUUUGAUUUAUGAGGACCAAGUGCAGAUUCUUAGUGGGAGUUGGUCCCAGCUUCGUGUAGGCCAAAUAAGAGCCAGUCUCUCCAGCCUUUAAGUACCAGGGGUGGGGGGGCAACCGGGAAAAAUAUAUACAAAAGGGACCCAGUGUUCUUGCCCCAGGAGGGCGGGUCUGCAUGGCAUGUAGCUGUAAUAUUACUAGCUGGUGCUGGGCCUGAGAAGACCUGAGCAUCCUGGAGCCCCAUCUUGCCUCCCUCUCUUCUUGUUCUCUGUGCAUGCUGACCAGCACUCUCUUCUUGAUGUCUUUGGAUAUAGACUGGUGCAUGGAUCCUGCACCAGCUCUCCUCGGCAUCAGAUGGAUAAGCGGAUGAGAUUUGAAGACAAACCCCUAAACUGCCUGCGUUCCAUGUGGGCACAACUGGCCUAGGAGUGCCCAGACAUAGUCAGCUCCCUCUUGGCUGUGGGGAAGGAGGGGCAGCUUGCUUCUUGCUCCAGGCUGCAGACCGUUUGGAUAAAAAGCAAUCACCGUUCAUAUUUGUUGUCUUGAGAAUGAGACCAGGAGCCUGGCCACAGGGGAGUGGGGUGGGGGGACAUGUGGCCUUUCUUCUCUGCCUCCUUCCCGGUGAAUCCCUCCCACUCCCCACUUCCCAGACACCAGACACUUGCUGCCUUCCACCUCCAGACACCAGAUGGCUCCCUCUCUUUGCUCUCCCCUCUAGACCAUUUGGGCCCCUCCCUGUGCCUGCAAGAGGUUCCAGAGUCCAGCCUCUGCCUGGUGGGGCCAGCCAUCCCCUCAACUCCCAGGGGCUACUUUUCAUUCGUCUAGCUCUUCCUCCUGCUGGGCUUCGGCAGGCUCUUACCCUUCGAGCACCUUUCCAUCCUUCACUCUGAGGAGCACUGGCCAAUCUUUGUGUCUGCCCCACCCCCCAAGAGGCAGUGUCCUGGGCAUGGCCCCCUCCCCCUUCCAGCCCCUGCCGCUAGAUGGCGUCCUCACUCUGCCUUCAACUCUGGCCUGCCGGGUUGGGGAAAUUCUGCAGUCUCCAGUUGGAAAGUCCUGGAAGCAGGACUAGGCUCUUUGGCUCCUCCUCUGUUCUCUGCCACCUGUCUUUCCUUCCCAACCCUUACUUCCCUUUCCACAGUUUCCACAGUUUGAGCUAGGGAUCCCAGCCCAGUCCGUGCCUCCUGGCCUCUUCUCUUUUCCUGUUUUCUCUCCCAGUUGACUUCUCUUUCUUUGACAGCUCUGUCACCAUCUCAUUCUGCCCAAUCACACAGUUACGUCUCAUUUUCCUCCUGAAUUUUUUUCAGUUUUGGCAAAUAGAGUUUUACCUGCUCCAGUUUGUUCUCUGGGGCGAAAGCUAGGGGAGAGGAAAAUUCUACAGUCAAGGAGAUACCUACAGUCUGGGAAAGCUGCUUUGGUGCUAAUGGUCAGAGAAUCACAUGCUAUAUCAUACUUUGUCUACGCCCUGUCCAUCCUUCAGUGGGUUCUGUGUAAGGUGUAAGCCAUGACUGUUUCAUUUUGGGUCCAAAUAGGCCUCAGCUCUCUGAGCCUUUAGAGUCUCCAAAUGGUUUCUGGUCCACUACAGAGCCACCAGGUACAUUUGUGACUUGGAAAGAGGAUGUAGGCAGGUGGCCUGCUGUAUGGCCUAGAGGACCAAGGGAUGGGUCUGGAUGUCAUAACCAGUUCUUCUGACCCCAGUUUGGGCAUUUCUUUACCACAGCUGCUGUGGUACUCCAAAAUGCCAUCACCUCUUUCCCUCCGGUCUUGUAGCUGCUGAAGCACAGAGGCCCCUGGGAAAGAGGGACCCUACCAUUCUCCUUUGAAGCCAAGCCAAGAGCAUGAAGCGGUGAAGCUUACGGUUCAUGCCUGCUGUGGUAUAGAGAAGAGGAGAAAAAGGGCUGGCAGGACGGAGCCAGGUGGGUACGGAGGGUAAGAAGACCCUUUCUCUAGGAGGCUUCAGGCGACCAGGAAACCAGGUGGACGGGUACGGACUGCUUCUUCCUCUGCGGCAGGAGGGUUUUGCAGAGGAUUCUGCUGGUUGAGAAGUGGUCACUCACUCCAGAAAGAACCGCUUCCAUCAGAUGCUGUGCAGCUCUGCUGAGUGUUGUGCCAGCCUCAAGAGUCAUGUCACGGUGGCCACCCGGAUCCUGGGACUGGGACUGGAGGCUGGACAACAGCAGGGCGCUGCAGAAGAUUGCUUUCUCCGAAGAGAGGACAUCUCUUCCCCUCUGUCUCUCACCCCACCCUUCAGUGACCAGGGGAUUUCACCUCUUUGGGGGCUGGGUUCUUCAUUUUUGACUGUCCUACACAGAGAGGGUCUCCAGGCCUGAAGUCACAUGUCACCUAGAACUCAGGUUAGCAAAGCUUCCUUGCUCAGUGUUGCACGUUGUCUUUCAGUUAGACUUGCACUGAAUUUCAGUUUACCAACACGAACAACCCCACUGAGGAAACGAGCACAGAGUUUGUAUAUUCUGUCCUAUCCCGCAGAGAAUCUAUGGCAGGAACAUCAGCAAUAGCAGUCCCCGAGCCCCAGAGCCUGUCAUACAUCUCCAGCUUAUGAUCUGUGGGGCCCAUGGCUGUAUCAGCAGAGGGGAAGCAAGGAAUGGAAGCAGAAAAGGAAGCAUGAACGUGCACUUGUAAAGAUAAGGCACAGAGGAAUGUGUGCAUCUUGGGGCUCAGGUAAAAAGUGGUCCAGAAUCAGAGAUGCUGAGGAGAAAACUAGGGGUGUCUGAGAGUGGUUCUCCUCAGCUGCUCUGUCCUGUCGCUUCUUGCAUUGGGCACACAGGGUCACUAUUCUCUCUCCGAGACUCCAUCCUUACCAUUGCCCUGGAGGGGCAUGUUUCCUCACAAAGAAAGGUGACCUCACCCACGGGCACCAAGCCAUGUGUGAUCCGUGUGCCCCUGAUGCUGACUUUAGCCCUGGCCCCUCAACCACCUCCCUUCUUGUCUGAUGUAAGAGUGUUUCCAAGAAGAAUACUGUGUGCCCGAUAGACACUGUGGGUUCAGGACUAGGCAUGUCCACGUUGAAUUUUUGUGAUGCUUUAACCAGGAACGGAGGGCUCUUGCUGCUGUCCUCAGAGGUUAGCUUGUUUUGAGGGCUCCAGCUUCUCUGUGGUGGCCUGGAUGGGCAUCGUGGUUACAAAGGAGAGAUUUGUAGAUGUUGCUUCUGGUUCCUUUUCAUGUUGCUGGGAUGAAGUGCUACGGCAAAACAACUUGAAGGAGUUGCUCUUGAUUCACAAUAGGGAAGUCCUCAGAGCAGAGUAGGUGGCAACGGGCCAAACCGCAUUUUCAGUCAGGAAGCAGAGAGAUGAGCGCUGUUGCCAGGUUCACUGGCUUCCAUUUAUGCAUUGCAGGGCUUAAGCCCAGGGAAUGGUCCCAUGUAUGGUGGGAAGAUCUUCUUAUCUCAACUAAUCUAGCAAACAAGUCAUCCACUAUAGACAUGCCCAGAGAGCCUUGGUCAGGGUUCCUCAGUGGUUGUCACAUCAGGACAGCGAGUGUCAAGUCCUAUGGUCUUUGGUUGGUACUUCUUAUGGCCAGGGUUCCAUGUAUCAUGUACCUGCUGCUAUGGAGAAUGGACAGGGAACCUGGUGAUGGUCCCUGUGGCUAAGGUGCUCCUCUCUCCAUUGUAACGUUAAAGCUUUGGCAGAGUUCAGUUUUCAGAUUAUUCUUAGAUUAUUGGUGUGUGAGAUUCAGGUGACAUGUAUCUUCAAGCAGGUGUUGUGACUGCUCAGGGCUGAGUCUAUGUCAGUUCCUCUUGAGGCAAGUUGCUUCUGUCUGUGAGUCUGGCAGCUGGUUCCUACAUGCUCAGUAUUGAGUGCUUGGGUAGCCUUACUACAUGCUUGUGUGCCUGUGUGCCUGGUCUAUAUGCUAUGUGCAGUGGGCAGCUUAAAACAAGAGUCUUAAAGAGUGGACACGAAAAGCAUGUGACUUGCUGGUGGGGUUUGUUUUGUUCGAAGGACUGAGCUGUGCCAUAGUUUUGUUUUGGUAUCUGAGAUGGCACUCAACUCAAAUGGCAGAAACCUUGGCCCCUACUUGACAGUCUGUAGAAUACCUUCUCACUGGGCCCCCAGCAUCUCUGGUGUCAGGGAAAGUGCGAAACCAUGUACAUCUCAUAGCUGCCAUUGAAGAAUUUCCAGAAAGAUUUCCAGUUAGAGAACCAGGAUCAGACCUGGAAGGAUUUCCUUUGGCUCCAGGUUGAUGUAAAAAUGAGUCCAGGAACCUCAUUCUAAGCUUUUGAUUAACUUCAAUGGGAAGAUUCUAGAUUCUACAUCCUUGACCUUUGCAGAUGGAGACCUGCUCAUGCUUGGGGAGCCCUCUGUCUUUGCCGUGGCUAUCUUGGGCAGGAGUCAUUCCUAGUGCAUUGUGUCUGCACUUUCGCCUGCUGCCCUGCAUGAGGCUUCCAGCCCUGCCACUGUCUGCUGCCAUUCCCUGUGGUGCCAGACAUUGAGCUUCUUGUACGUGGACUGCGUACCAGUGGCCUGUGUUGUUUCUUAUAGCCAAGUGCUCUCCUGGGAGCUGAACUCUGACAUCAAGACUGUGUCAGCACACCUCUGCACUUCUAGAAGGGUCUGUUGGUCUCAUUCAUCUAAGUUCCUAGCUAAGAUGAUGUUCAAUAAAUAUUGAUCACUGGAUGAAAGUUUCUUAUCAGUGCAGCA
Molecule: small RNA, 5167 nt
Filed under: Rattus norvegicus (Norway rat)
Lineage: Eukaryota; Metazoa; Chordata; Mammalia; Rodentia; Muridae
Description: uncharacterized LOC102546975
Source: RNAcentral